Molecule: long non-coding RNA, 142 nt
Organism: Sander lucioperca (pikeperch)
Lineage: Eukaryota; Metazoa; Chordata; Actinopteri; Perciformes; Percidae
Exons: 2
Source: RefSeq, a predicted model, not a curated record
UUAUUUUCAUGUUAAAUCACCAUUUAUUUUUCACACCCAGGGUGGGAAAUUAGCACCCGCCACAAGCCAAUGGCGGGUACUUUUUCAAAGUGGCGGGUGACUUUGCCUUGUAUACAAGCCACAGUGGCGGGUGGAGUGGUUU